AGGAAUUGGGUGGACUAAAUGGACAGUAUCCUUCUCUAUCUGAAGUCUAGCAAGGGAGGUUUCCAUCACAGCCUCCAGAAGCAGAGGAUGCUGGAAGAUACCACUGGUACAAUGCCCAGUAAUGGAAGUCCUGCCUGCAAUAUUGAACAAUGGAAGAUUGGAUUCAUAUCAAAUAAUUUUAGUGCUUCCUGUCCCUUGUUUUAAAGGGAACACAGUACACCAAGUCAAAUGGAAUGGCAGAAAGAAGGCUGCCACACAGACCUGCAUAUAUGAUAAAUCUAUAUGAAACUAGAAAGUGAUUGCCCCUAAAAGAACACAAAUUAAAAACUAACAGCUCCCUUGAGGGACUUUUAACAAUCCAGAGAUGUGACGAGGCUGGGGAUAUAGCGUUUGCAGGCUGGCCUGUAACAACCAUCUCUUGCUUCUGGGCAUGGCAAAGUCCUGAGAUAGAAAGAUGUUCUAGUCAAUUCUGUUGAGGUCAACAGUUACCUUGUAUAACUUCCUCAAGGGAAGCUAAACCCAUCAUUUCUAAACAUACCUUGAGCUCUUGUUUGAGAUGUGGGGGCAUUACAAGUUCACUCCCCAACCCAGACAAAUUUAUUUACAUUGUCAUCAAACUCGAGGCUUAGGACCUUCUCUAUUAUUUCUGACUUAACUGGAAAUGCAUUUCAAACUACUUCCAUUUUUACAGGACCAUUCUGCACUUACCUUUCAGAAACAGAAAGGAUAUCCUUCUCAGGCUGGACUUCUAGCUCAAACAACAGCCACUCUCGGAAAGAUAACUGGGAAAGAUGCAGAGAUUCAGCACCAAAAAG
This is a non-coding RNA of Chelonoidis abingdonii (Abingdon island giant tortoise), 815 nucleotides long. Lineage: Eukaryota; Metazoa; Chordata; Testudines; Testudinidae. The record is from RefSeq and is a predicted model, not a curated record.